This is a non-coding RNA of Phascolarctos cinereus (koala), 301 nucleotides long. NCBI's taxonomy places the organism in Eukaryota, Metazoa, Chordata, Mammalia, Diprotodontia, Phascolarctidae. The record is from RefSeq and is a predicted model, not a curated record.
GACACACCACUACCAAGUAUCAGAAUCCAAGUCCAAUGCUUUUCUUCACGAUGCUUAUCACUAGGGGUAUUCCUCCACUGAUUUACAUCACAGUCCAUUCAUAAGAUGAUCUUCAUAAGUUGAUCUGGUCAAAGACAUUAAUGAAGUGUUAACUGCUCAAGAAGUGACUCCUACAUGUAACAGAGGGAGGAAAUCCUGUGUAUGUCCUACUUGUGGCCCAGGAAAGAGAGAGAAACCAGGCCUCCAAAAAGCAGGAACAGGCAAUGAGUGUCUCUCUGCUUCCUCUUGCUUUUAUCACCCA